This is a long non-coding RNA of Helianthus annuus (common sunflower), 533 nucleotides long. RefSeq lists it as uncharacterized. The transcript is spliced from 2 exons. Lineage: Eukaryota; Viridiplantae; Streptophyta; Magnoliopsida; Asterales; Asteraceae. The record is from RefSeq and is a predicted model, not a curated record.
UUUUACAAUUUUUCAUUUUAUGUUAUUGGUGUUAUAGAGAGAGAAAGCUAAUGUUUUGGAGAGAGAAACAACAAUUUUCAUCUUGUUCAUCUCGGGUGUGUUCAUGCUUAUUUCGAAGCUGAUUUUCGGGUGUGUUCAUGCUUCAUCUCACGUCGUCAUCUUCAUCUAGGUUGUGCUCAUGCUUGUUGAAAGCUGAUUUCUAGAGUGAGAAACAACAAUCUUCAUCAUGUUUAUCAAGAACACCAAGAACACACAGAGAGAAGCAAGUUUGAAGAUCUUCAUCGUGUUUAUCGUAUGGUUCUAGAUCCGGACGUGUUAUAGCCGCUAAAAAGCUAAGGCAGACUGUCAAAGGAAGCUCCACCAUUUUUUUAGUGCUAUGUAUUUUCGUUUACUAGUAAUAUGUAAUGUGUGACUCUUAUUGUUUUGUCUAGUACAUGAUGUUAAAACGGUAUGGACUUAAAACAUUUUGUGUUGGAGUCGCCCGUGUUUGUACUUCUGCUGUUACUAAGUUACUAUUGGAGUUUAUGUAUCCA